This 241-nucleotide unclassified non-coding RNA is filed under the name Chamaenerion latifolium. Its description in RNAcentral is "partial miscellaneous RNA". Lineage: Eukaryota; Viridiplantae; Streptophyta; Magnoliopsida; Myrtales; Onagraceae. The record is from RNAcentral.
GNNGAAUCCUGCACAGCAGAACAACCUNNGAACSGGUUAAUAACCAACUGGGUAAUGGGGGGCAUGCCCCCUGUGCUCCCGAGUUCCGUUGCUCUUGGGUAGCCCAACGGGUCCAAGACUUCGUGAAGUAACGAAACCCGGCACGGAACGUGCCAAGGAACCUGAACAAGAGAUGUGCAGUCCUGCUACCCCCGUUCGCGGGGUGUCUCGGGAUCAACGCGCAAUCUUUUCUAUAAAUAUC